AACUACACACAAUACUCUCUCCCAUUCCUCCUUCUUCUUCUCUUCUAGUCUAAGAGCGCAAAAUGUUAAUUACUCUCUUUCUCUCUCAUCUAAUCAUCAUAAUCAUCCAUGUUCCUCUUUUCUCAGUCUUCUUCUUCUUCUUCUUCAUAGUCUCUCCCUUCUUGUAAUCACUGAUCAUGGUGGCGGCUACGUUUGAUGGAUUCUCCAUAAGGGUUUCCAGCCUCGAGGCUGAUUCGGAUUGGUUGGAGAUGGAAAAUUCCAAUUUGACGCAGUGUGUUUGAGUUGCUGUCAAAGUUUGGCCUCUGAUUACGUCGGAGCUUAUGCUUGGAUGCACCGAUUGCAUCUCCAUGGUUCCCGGUGAACCUCAGGUGUUGGCUAUGUCCAAGGCCGACAUGAUAGGAAGUGCAAACUAAUCGGAGUUUAGUUAUUAUGGAUUUCGUUCGUUCCCGCUCUCAAUUAUCAAACCUCAAAAUCGGAGGCUGAGCUGAGAAUGAGAUGAUACUCGGUUACUUGAUCGACUAAAUGAGGUAAGAAAUGUAUACAUUGAUGUUUUGCUAGUUUCAUAAAAAUUGGAGAAUCAUCUGGGAAACAUGGCUCAUUUUGAAAAAGAUGAGGUACCAAUGAUGUCAGAAACACAUGCUCAACUAUCUGAUGAAGUUGUGGAUUCUAAUUUCCGAAGGCUUGUAUCUAGGACACGAAGUGCUUCAAUUUCUAUUCCUAUGGCCUCCUUGGAAUCAUAUGAGAAAGAAACUAGUCUUGUGGGACAUACUGGUCCACUUCAUAGUGUGAGAAAAACCCCCUCUGUGCAGAUCAGUGGUCCACUGUAUGCUACCAAUGGAACUGGAAAUCUUUCACGACAGAAUAUAGUUGCAACACGAACCAAAGUAAUGGAGAGCAAGACAGAAAAGUUUUCUACUUUCAAUGGCACAGAUGAAAAUCGUUGGGAUAACGACUACAAUAGAAAGAAUUAGCACUUAAUGAGGUAUGGGCAACUUGGAGUGUGUAAUGAUCCUUAUUGUACUACUUGCCCCACUUAUUUCAAGGCUUCUCAGCCAAGAACCCGAAGAACUUCAGCUAUAUUUGAUCCCAAGGAACCGUGAAGAUGCAUCAGUUAGGCCCAAGAGGAAGAGCAGUGCUCCUUCAUACCUGAAGGACUACAUAUAAGCUUUGCUGACGUGGCAUUAGUGCCAAGGGCUUGUCUGCCAAUUCACACUACUUUUCACCAUUCUGUUAUGCCCUAUAUGCACAGAAUUACUAUAAAUAGUAUCUCAUUGUAAUAAGGCAUAUAUGAAUUCAAUACAAUAGUUUCCUUUCCUUCUUUCUUAUUCUUGGGAGGAGCUGGACCCUCAAAACCAGUAUUCAUCGUGUUCUUCGUGUUCUUAGCAUUUCUACUUGAUCUUGCGACCUUUUCAAUUUCCUUUUGUAAGUUUUUUUGAUUUUAUAAGUCUUUUUUGCUUCUUUACAGUUUAGAUUGGUUAUGUUUCUCCUGAGUCAAGGGUAGUAGGUGCUGGAGAUUUAGUUGAUCAUCCCAAGAAAAUUGCUAUUAAUUAUCUGAAGGGUUAUUUUUUCAUUGACCUAUUUGUUGUAUUGCCUCUACCUCAGGUAAAUUCUUACCAUCUCCCUUUUUUGCUUUGUGGAAACUUUCUUUAUAUAAUUUCCUUGGCUGAGUUUGCUCAUCGUAACUUGGUAUUUUGGGUAUUCACUUUUAUGUGCCACAAAGCACAAAGUUUAUGAUGUGAAUUAUGAGACGUUCCAGUCUUACAAUUGAACAUGAAUGCUUAUCGGUAUUUUCUCUCUACUCAUAUUGUGUGAUAUCUGUUCGGUUAAAUUUUCAGUGGCUUUGUAUCUUUGAUUUACUAGAAAAUAAGGAGGUCUUUGAUGUUGCCAUAUGAAGUUGAGUUUUUUCUUGUUUCUUUCAAAAUAUCAGUUUUUAGUUGUGAUAUUCUUAUUCAAAAUAAAUAAGGAUUUCUUGUGAUGAGCUAUUAAGUUUUCUAUAAUAUGACUAUUGUAGUUGCUAUUGUCAAGUGCCUUCACAUAAAUAGUUUUCAUCUCUCACAAACUCUGCAUGCGAAAACUCUUUCUCCUUGAAGCAUACAAAUGCCAAAGGCCCACUUAUUUUGUAAUCAAUUUGAAAUUAAUUUAGAACAUGAGAGAAUUGGGGAUUUGUCCUCUACAAUUAGUCAUAAAGGCUAUGGUACCUUGUUACCAACCAAUUAGCAAACCAUUCACCCCCAAAUUGUUACAAGCUUCGACCUAUGUGCAUGAAUUGUGUGCCAUCACAACUGCCGUUAAGAAGUGGAGACAAUACCUUCUUGGCCAUCAAUUCAUGAUCUUGACUGAUCACAGAAGUCUUAAGGAGCUCAUGACUCAGAUUGUUCAAACUCCAGAGCAGCAAAUGUAUUUUGCCAGGCUUAUGGGGUAUGACUACUCCAUUCAAUAUCGGUCCGGGAGCACUAAUUUGGUAGCUGAUGCCUUAUCGCGCUUGAAGGAGGGAUCAGAAGGAACCAUGUUAUUACUAUCUGUACCUUGCCUGACAUUUUUAGAUGAAUUGAAGAAGCAAUUAAAACAAGAACCAGCCUUUAUCGAAUUCAGGAAGAAUAUAUUGGCCCAACCCACAGCCUUCCCUGAAUAUUCUAUUACUCGUGGAUUGAUUUUGUAGGGGAAUCGUAUUUGGUUACUAGAGGAUAUCCCCUUCAUUCAGACUCUGUUAAUGGAGUAUCAUUCUACUCCAACAGGGGGUCACAUGGGGGUCACGAAGAUAUUAGCAAGGCUCACUGAGAAUUUCUAUUGGCCUUGUAUAAGAAAAGAUGUGAAAUAAUUCGUUGCAUCUUGUGUGGAUUGUCAACACACCAAGUACGAAACUAAGAAGACUGUCAGACUUCUAUGUCCACUUUCGAUACCCUCAAGGCCAUGGGAGGACCUCUCGUUAGAUUUCAUUACGGGGUUGCCACCCUUUCGCGGGAACACCACUAUCCUAGUGGUCGUAGAUCAUUUCUCCAAGGGGAUACAUUUGGGAAUGUUACCCACGCAGCAUUCUGCUCAUUCAGUCGCCGUCUUGUUCAUGGAGAUUGUCGGAAAACUCCAUGGCAUGCCACGGAGAUUGAUUUCCGAUCGCGACCCGCUAUUCAUCAGUAGCUUUUGGUAGGAUUUAUUCCGCUUGAGUGGCACGAAGCUUCGAAUGAGCUCCGCUUACCACCCCCAAACAGAUGGGCAAACGGAGGUUAUACACCGCGUUAUCGAGUAAUAUCUACGCGCCUUUGUUCAUCAGAAUCCUUCGUCAUGGGGCAAGCUGUUAAUUUGGGCUGAGUGGUCCUAUAAUACGACCCAACACUCAGGUUCCGGUGUCUCACCGUUUGAGGUCACAUAUGGACGGAAACCACCUAAUUGGCUGCAGUACUUCACAGGUUCUUCAAAGAUGGAAGCCGUGGAUACCUUACUCUCCGAUCGAGAGUGUGGUUUCAUUGCCUUGAGGAAGAAAUUGCAUAAGGCUCAAGAAAUUAUGAAGCUGACAGCAGACAAGAAGCGUAGAGAGGUGCAGUUCCAUGUCGGUGAUAUGGUUAUGGUUCGUCUCCGGCCACGUCGUCAAGUCACCAUUACAGGCCAACACCAGAGAUCCCCCAAGCUCAAUAAAUGAUACUAUGAACCAUUUUCGGUACUUGAGAAGAUUGGGCCUGUUGCGUAUAAGCUGAAACUCCCUGAAGAUGCACGUAUCCACCCCGUAUUUCACUGCUCCAUGCUCAAGCCAUUCCACUCACCUGUCUUAGCUAAUACUUCUCCCACCCUUGCAUUACCUUCGCUGAUUGUUAACAACGAGCCUGUGAUCUCUCCGACGGCCAUUGUGGGCACCCGUUAUACCUCUAAUUCUGAAACACCUAAGUUACAGGUGCUGGUACAAUGGGAAGGUUUGCUUCCCGAAGAUACCACUUGGGAAGAUUGGGAGCAACAUCAAGAUAACUGCCACCUUAAGGGCAAGGUGAUUCUUGAAGGCCCAGGGGAUGAUAGGAAUCGUGAAGAUGCAUCAGCUAGGCCGAAGAGGAAGAGCAGUGCUCGUUCAUACCUGAAGGACUACAUAUAAGCUUUGCUUUGCUGACGUGGCAUUAGUGCCAAGGGCUUGUCUGCCAAUUCACACUACUUUUCACCAUUCUGUUAUGCCCUGUAUGCAGAGAAUUACAAAUUUUGUUAGCAAUAUCACUAUAAAUAGUAUUUCAUUGUAAUAAGGCAGAUAUGAAUUCAAUACAAUAGUUUCCUUUCCUUCUUUCUUAUUCUUGGGAGGAGUUGGACCCUCGAAACCAGUAUUCAUCGUGUUCUUCCUGUUCUUAGCAUUUAUACUUGAUCUUGCGACCUUUUCAAUUUCCUUUUGUAAGUUUUUUUGAUUUUAUAAGUCUUUUUUGCUUCUUUAUAGUUUAGAUUGGUUAUGUUUCUCCUGAGUCAAGGGUAGUAGGUGCUGGAGAUUUAGUUGAUCAUCCCAAGAAAAUUGCUCUUAAUUAUCUGAAGGGUUAUUUUUUCAUUGACCUAUUUGUUGUAUUGCCUCUACCUCAGAUAAUGAUAUCAUUUGUCCUACGAAAGUACUUGGGAAUAUC
Molecule: long non-coding RNA, 4580 nt
Organism: Glycine soja
Lineage: Eukaryota; Viridiplantae; Streptophyta; Magnoliopsida; Fabales; Fabaceae
Exons: 6
Source: RefSeq, a predicted model, not a curated record